Molecule: ribosomal RNA, 499 nt
Filed under: uncultured bacterium
Lineage: Bacteria
Description: partial 16S ribosomal RNA
Rfam family: Bacterial small subunit ribosomal RNA
Source: RNAcentral
GACGAACGCUGGCGGCGUGCUUAACACAUGCAAGUCGAACGGGCCUGUCUUCUUUUUUGGGGGUGGGUUGAGUGGCGAACGGGUGAGUAUCACGUGAGUAACCUGCCCUUCGGUCCUGGAUAACCGCUUGAAAGGGCGGCUAAUACGGGGUGGUCCGGUUGGUCCGCAUGGGCUGGUCGGGAUAGAUUCACUGUUUUUGGUGUUUCGGCGGGGGAUGGGCUCGCGGCCUAUCAGCUUGUUGGUGGGGUGAUGGCCUACCAAGGCGGUGACGGGUAGCCGGGAUGGGGGGGUGGGCGGUCACACUGGGACUGGGAUACGGGCCAGAAUCCUGCGGGAGGGAGCCGUGGGGGGUAUUACACGAUGGGCGGGAGCCUGGUGCAGCGACGUCGCGGGGGGGGUGGGGGGCUUCGGGGUGUGAACCUUUGUUUCCGGUUGUGAAGGCCCUGUUCGUGUGGUGGGGUUGACGGUAGCCGGGGAUGAAGCGCCGGCUAACUACGUG